CGCCUCUUGAAAUAUAUAAGAGGUCCCGCCUGCCCAGUGACCUAGUUAAACGGCCGCGGUAUCCUGACCGUGCGAAGGUAGCGUAAUCACUUGUCUUUUAAAUAGAGACUAGUAUGAACGGCAUCACGAGGGUUACUCUGUCUCCUUUCCCUGAUCAAUGAAACUAAUCUUCCCGUGAAGAAGCGGGAAUGCUUAUAUAAGACGAGAAGACCCUAUGGAGCUUUAAACAAAAUAAUAACUGCUUUUUCUCCCACCGCCCUCCCUGAGGCAAUUACCACCAUUUUAGCAUUAUAAUUAUUAGUUUUCGGUUGGGGCGACCGUGGAGCAUAAACUAACCUCCAUGAUGAACCGGCACCAGCCUAAACAAAAAGCUACGACUUUAUGUAUCAGAAGACUGACAUAUCUUGACCCAAAAAUUUUGAUCAACGAACCAAGUUACCCUAGGGAUAACAGCGCAAUCCACUUCGAGAGUUCAUAUCGAAAAGUGGGCUUACGACCUCGAUGUUGGAUCAGGGUAUCCCAGUGGUGCAGCCGCUACUAAAGGUUC
RNAcentral lists this ribosomal RNA (547 nucleotides) under Stefania scalae. RNAcentral's name for it is "partial 16S ribosomal RNA". It matches the Rfam family "Bacterial large subunit ribosomal RNA", at positions 1819 to 2574 of the family's 2925-position model. The record is from RNAcentral. Lineage: Eukaryota; Metazoa; Chordata; Amphibia; Anura; Hemiphractidae.